AAUCAACGCUGGCGGCGUGCCUAACACAUGCAAGUUGAGCGCUUGAGGGGGGCAACCCCCAAGAGAGCAGCGAACGGGUGAGUAACGCGUGGGUGAUCUUCCUUCGAGUGGGGAACAACAUCGGGAAACUGGUGCUAAUUCCGCAUAAUAUCCUCGGGCCACGAGCCUGGGGAUCAAAGCCGGGGACCGCAAGGCCUGGCGCUUGAAGAUGAGCCCGCGUCCGAUUAGCUAGUUGGCGGGGUAAUGGCCCACCAAGGCUCCGAUCGGUAGCCGGCCUGAGAGGGCGGACGGCCACACUGGAACUGAGACACGGUCCAGACUCCUACGGGAGGCAGCAGUGGGGAAUUUUUCGCAAUGGGCGCAAGCCUGACGAAGCAACGCCGCGUGGAGGAUGAAGGUCUUCGGAUUGUAAACUCCUGUCGACCGGGACGAAUGCACUCGACCUAAUACGUCGGAAUGUUGACGGUACCGUGGAGGAAGCCAGGCUAACUCUGUGCCAGCAGCCGCG
RNAcentral lists this ribosomal RNA (508 nucleotides) under uncultured bacterium. Its description in RNAcentral is "bacterial SSU rRNA". It matches the Rfam family "Bacterial small subunit ribosomal RNA", at positions 32 to 519 of the family's 1533-position model. The record is from RNAcentral.